Long non-coding RNA from Equus caballus (horse), 1819 nucleotides. NCBI's taxonomy places the organism in Eukaryota, Metazoa, Chordata, Mammalia, Perissodactyla, Equidae. The record is from Ensembl.
GGAAAGCGUCUGGAGGGAAGCAAAAAUAGUAGAGGUGCGUUGAAGAAUCUUCUAUUAGUUCCUGUUGCCUAGAUCUUUGGGGCAGCUGUUUCACAGCACAGCCUGUCUCCAGUCAGCUCUGCUGUGUACGGGGCGAUCAUGAGGGACUCUGCUCACAUCGCUCCGUGACCGGAAUGCUCAUCUGAAUGACAUAACACACUGUAGGAUGGCCCACACAUCUGGGUUUGAAAGACAUUGGACAGGAUCGAAAAGAAAUUGAGUGGCAAGCAGGAAAGAUUCCUCCCUCCACAAGCCAGAGGCUCAGCUCUUCCCACACUCCCCCUUGCUCCUGGAGCUCUAGCCAUGCCAGCCUUCUUUCAGUUCCUCCUGCUGAUUCCUCCCUCAGGACUCUUGCACAUACUCCUUUGGCUUAUAAUGUACUUUCCUCCUUUUCUUCCCGGUUCACUCUUACUCAUCCUUCAGCUCUUGGCUCAGCGUCGCUUGUUCAGAGAAGCCUUCCGUGCCCACUCAGUCACCAGAACAAGGUUCACUCGGGUGAUAGCGUGUCCUUCUCAUCCACAGCACUAAACACAAUGACAAUUCCUUAUUGUUGUAGGCUUGUUUAAACUUAAUGUCUGUCUCCCCUACUCACCUGUAAACUUCAUGAGAGCUGGGACCAUGUCUUUGUCACCUGCAUCGCCAGAGCCUGGCACGGAGUUGAAGAAGGAUAAAUGUGUCUUGAACGAACUGUUGAGCCCACCUGCAGCGGGAGAACACGGCUGGGCUCUUGGUGCUCUGUCCGCUCACACUCAGAUCCCCUCACCGUUGUCCGCACACCAGCACAGGUGUGCAGCUCCAGGUGUACUGUCACCCAGCCGCACCUGCAUCUCACCGUCAGAGGACUGCUCUCACUUUGCCCAUGUGCGCCAAGAGCUUGUAGUGCCCAGGAAUUUAUGUUCCCUUUAGAAGAAGCCCUUAACCAAUUAGUGAUGGGUAUGGGCUUAUAAACUCACCAGCUCUCUUGUCUUGAUGGGACAUCCGUGAGGGGUCACCUGUACUGUCCUCAAGCUCCCCUGUGGCGCUGAGCCACACUGACCCUCCAUGGGAUGGGUGGUGAUACUGCACUCCUCUCGGCCUCUUGUGGUUCCCAGCCCCUCCCACACUCCUUGACGGUGUUCCCGGAGAUCUCCUCCUAACAAGUCACUUUACACAAAUCCUCAUCUCGGGGUCUGCUUCUGGGGAACCCAACCUAAAACAGAGAGCCUUCUGCUGGAAAGGUCCUCGCUGAGCUGUGAUUAAUAUUGUAAAUUUUAGUGCUGAAAGCACUCAAACCAGGGAGACCAUUUGCUGGUUCAGACAAGGAUGGGUCCUGCCAAUAUCUCUCUAACCAGCAAGGGAGAGUCAUGUCUAUAAAGGAGGGAGAACUAAACUCUCCACGUUCGAACCUUCACCCCAUGACCCUGUGCACCACGGGAAAGAGGUCAGGAGGCUGUGCUCUAGCAUCCCAACCAAACUGGCCGUGGGAGCCUGUUGGCAAGAUUGCCUUGAGGGUAAGCCAAGAUCCUCUCUACCUGCUCCUUCUCCAAGAUUUCCCCUGAGGCCAGGGUGGGGCAGGACUGGUUUAUGGGUGGGGAGGGGGGCCCCUCUGGCUAGAGGAUCUUAGGAGGAUGAGGUGUAGGCUGGUAAGGUCAGUGUAGUAAGGAUGCCUUCAGCUUUAGGGAGCAGAAUUCCCAAUUGAAAGAGGGUUAAAUAAUAGGGGCAUAUUUAUUGAGGAAUUUUCCAUAAAGAAAAGUAACAGUGUUAUAAGACAGAAAAAUCAGGGGAAACUUACAUAGAUGGG